AAGUAGAGGUGCGUUUUUCAAGAGUAUCCGGGUGAAUAUCAUAAGGGAUAGAUGCAGCCCGCAAAAAGGGGAAAACGCCGAAGAAGGGAAAUGCCUUAUCUUUCCGCUUCUGGUUGUACAGUCAAUAGCUGUAUGACUGUCAUUGGAAAUCCAAUGGAGCGCUACA
RNAcentral lists this non-coding RNA (166 nucleotides) under uncultured Anaerotignum sp. RNAcentral describes it as "Lysine riboswitch". It matches the Rfam family "Lysine riboswitch aptamer". From Rfam's summary of the family: Riboswitches are metabolite binding domains within certain messenger RNAs that serve as precision sensors for their corresponding targets. Allosteric rearrangement of mRNA structure is mediated by ligand binding, and this results in modulation of gene expression. Lineage: Bacteria; Bacillati; Bacillota; Clostridia; Lachnospirales; Anaerotignaceae. The record is from RNAcentral.